GAGAAGGUAAGAAUCAGUCUUCACAAAUGCAUAGUAGAUCCAGAGCAUGGCACUGAACAAUGCAACAACAUAGGGAAGAGAUUGGAAUCCUUCUGUCGAUUUCUUACGAUAAAUUCGGUAGAACGUUGGCAGUGGGGCGAGUAACACCAUGAAUGAGAUCAAGUUGCCUAGAAUGCCGAAGGCAAAUGCCCAAGGGUCAGCCAUGGUUACACCUGCCAUUGCUGGUUAGGAGAGAGGAGGCAACUAGGAAGCUAUGGGAGA
Molecule: unclassified non-coding RNA, 261 nt
Filed under: Hevea brasiliensis (rubber tree)
Lineage: Eukaryota; Viridiplantae; Streptophyta; Magnoliopsida; Malpighiales; Euphorbiaceae
Source: RNAcentral